GGAAUGACUAGCUUACUGAAUCAUAGAAUUUCUUUAAAUUCAUGAUGUCGUAAGGGAAAAUAAUGAUAUUACCUUACUAUGAGUGUCGUCCAAAGCUGGUGCCAGAAGACUCGGUAAGACCAGAGACGCAAACGUUAAUCAUCUUAAACAGGCGUAAAGGGUUUGUAGGCAGCUUUCAUAAUAUUAUUUCUUACAAAAAUAAAGAAGUGGUCUGAUUGAAAGCUAGAAUCAAAAAGAGGUUAUAGUGUAUAACGCCUAGAGGAGGGCUGAUAUCCUUAGAUCCUAGGCAGAAUACUUAGGGCGAAGGCCACUCUCCACUAAUGAUUGACGCUGAGAAACGAAGGUAAGGGUAGGAAAUAGGAUUAGAUACCCCGGUACUCCUUUCUGUAAACGAUGAAUGGUAGUCAUUAGUAAAAUUAACUAGAGACGAAGUUAACACAAUAACCAUUCCGCCUUGUGAGUACUACUGCAAAGUAGAAAACAAAAAAAUUAGUCGGUCUCGAAGCAAACGGAGUGAAGCAUGUUAUUUAUA
Molecule: ribosomal RNA, 532 nt
Filed under: Sanguinoderma rugosum
Lineage: Eukaryota; Fungi; Basidiomycota; Agaricomycetes; Polyporales; Polyporaceae
Description: partial large subunit ribosomal RNA
Rfam family: Bacterial small subunit ribosomal RNA
Source: RNAcentral